RNAcentral lists this ribosomal RNA (501 nucleotides) under uncultured bacterium. RNAcentral describes it as "partial 16S ribosomal RNA". It matches the Rfam family "Bacterial small subunit ribosomal RNA", at positions 29 to 523 of the family's 1533-position model. The record is from RNAcentral.
AUGAACGCUAGCGGCAGGCCUAAUACAUGCAAGUCGAGGGAGAAUGUUGGAUUCGUCUGACAUGAAACCGGCGCACGGGUGCGUAACACGUAUGCAACCUACCUUUAACUGGGGUAUAGCUCAGAGAAAUCUGAAUUAAUCCCCCAUAAGACUACGACAUGGCAUCAUGAUGUAGUUAAAGCUCCGGCGGUUAAGGAUGGGCAUGCGGUACAUUAGCUAGUUGGUGAGGUAAGAGCUCACCAAGGCGAUGAUCUGUAACUGGUCUGAGAGGACGACCAGUCACACUGGGACUGAGACACGGCCCAGACUCCUACGGGAGGCAGCAGUGGGGAAUAUUGGACAAUGGGGGCAACCCUGAUCCAGCGAUGCCGCGUGGGUGAAGAAGGCCUUCGGGUUGUAAGGCCCUUUAGGUCGGGAAGAAGGUUAGUGGAGGAAAUGCCAUUAAUUUGACGGUACCGACAGAAUAAGCACCGGCAAACUCUGUGCCAGCCGCCGCAGUAA